GCUAGCAUGGCGUAGUGGUUUGAGUAUUGGACUAUGACUCUGGAGAGCAGGGUUCAAAUCCUAGUUCAGCC
RNAcentral lists this transfer RNA (71 nucleotides) under Phrynosoma platyrhinos (Desert horned lizard). Its description in RNAcentral is "tRNA-OTHER". The record is from RNAcentral. Lineage: Eukaryota; Metazoa; Chordata; Lepidosauria; Squamata; Phrynosomatidae.